This is a long non-coding RNA of Leopardus geoffroyi (Geoffroy's cat), 807 nucleotides long. RefSeq lists it as uncharacterized. The transcript has 2 exons. The record is from RefSeq and is a predicted model, not a curated record. NCBI's taxonomy places the organism in Eukaryota, Metazoa, Chordata, Mammalia, Carnivora, Felidae.
GAAAAAUGAAAACUUCCCAUGGCCAGUAUUAGGCCACUGUAGUUCUUUGAUCUGCUCACUUGUACUCUCUUGAGGUGUAGAGAAGGGGCAGGAAAUUAGAGAGAGAUAAGGCAACGGUCCCUCCAGGGUCCCUUCAAUGUGGAACAGCCCCGCACAUGACAGAGACCCAGGUGCCAGCAGCCUUCUCGCUUCCCAUGGCCUGGGCACAGAUACGCAGACUCAACACACAGGAGCCCUGAGAGCGAGGCUGAUUCAUUCACUUACCCAGAUGAAUGUUCACAUCUCGACUGACUUAUUUAAUGAGAACAAGUUCAUGUGCCAACAUGCGAACUGACCCUCAAGCCCCUUCCGCCGAAAGAAUUUGGACGGUAUCUCGUUCUUGAGUUAACGAGCCCUGGAUGAGGAUCGCUUGUUUUGCACAGCGAUGCCUGCUGGCCUCGACUAGCGUUCUGACAAGAGGGGGGUUGUGAGAGCUCGUGAGGGAAGACGGGGAAGAAGGACCCCCACAGGGGAGCCAGAGGAGAGCGUGGCACAGUCUAUCAAAAGUGAUUUUACCCCACCGGCCGUCUUUGCGGACGAGGAAGCUCACGGAUGGCAGCGGGGCAGUGGCUCGGCCAAGUUCAUCGGCUGAUUUACAGCGGAACUGGGGCCCGUUUGUCCAGCUGUCUACGUCUCUCCUUCUAGUUCUUCUUCUUCUUCCCGGGUUUCCUCCUUCUCCGCCACUGCCUGCCUGAUUCCUUGCUUUUUAUUCCAAAUAUGUAAGUCUCUAAUAAACCUACAGACAGGCUGAUGCCUGAUUUAUCCCCA